Molecule: unclassified non-coding RNA, 171 nt
Filed under: soil metagenome
Description: partial internal transcribed spacer 1
Source: RNAcentral
CACAAAUAUGAAGGCGGGGCUGGAACCUCUCGGGGUUUACAGCCUUGCUGAAUUAUUCACCCUUGUCUUUUUGCGUACUUCUUGUUUUCCUUGGUGGGUUCGCCCACCACUAGGACAAACAUAAAACCUUUUUGUAAUUGCAAUCAGCGUCAGUAAACAAAUUAAUAAUUA